RNAcentral lists this long non-coding RNA (1386 nucleotides) under Marmota monax (woodchuck). Lineage: Eukaryota; Metazoa; Chordata; Mammalia; Rodentia; Sciuridae. The record is from RNAcentral.
GCUGAACUGUGGCUGUUUAUAACGACAAACAAGUUGACAGCACCCUGAAAGAAAGGCACGGACUUUAAGGCGAUAGAAAAGCACUAGUGUGGAAACCCAUCUGCGUGCAAUGGCAGUAAGACCGGCAGAGUGCAAGGGCUUUCCAACACUAAGAGAAUAACAAGGAAAGUCAUGUCGAUCCCAGUGCAAUGUUAUAAUAACUUGGGGUGUAACGACCAUGUCAAAGGUUUACUGUUUAAGAUGCGCAAGCCAGACUUGAGGUGAGUUGCCAUUUUCUAAAGCUGCAAGAGCUUGUAUGAUCAUAGCCUUAUCGUGAGCACUGCGGGCCUUAAGGCGACAGAGAAACCACAAACAGAGGAACAUACCGAAGCAACACAUUGCACCAAAAAUGCCUACUCCCACCCACUCUUUGAAGAAGGAAAAGGCAGAGGAUAGCCAACUGGUGAAUUGACCCAAAGUCACUGGUUUGACACGGGUACUAUUCAAAACAGCAAUCUGAGUUAGUUGAGACUGGAUCAAGUUUUCUGCUUCCAUGGACCAGGUUCCGGAUAGAUACUCUCCGAUGAUGCGGGAGGCAUUUCUGGAAUCAUAAAAUCUGACAGAGGUUAUACAUAAAUGUGCACGUUGAUCAAUACAACCCAAAUGUACUGGGUCAGACAAUUCCUCAACUUGAGCUUGAAGCAGAUCUAUCCUUUGAUUAGCAGCUAGAAUCCCAGAUAAAAUGUGUUGAUUAAUUCUACUUUGAGAUUCAAGUAUGGUGGAUGUUUGUUGAAUAACCUGAUUAAUAGUAGCAGCAGUUUGUACUUGGCUGGUCAUGGCUACUCCAGCUGUAACUGCUGCAGCAGCAGACACUGCCACAGCUGUCACUAUAGCUGCCGUAAUUCCAAAAUCUCUACGGGCUCUAAUCAGUUCAACAAUAGGAAAUGACUCUGGGUCCGCAGUAACUGGGAUCGGGACAAAAGUUGGAAUUUUCAUAACCACCGCCGUAGUCCAGGAGCCAUUCCAACACUCAGACAAAUAACAGGUAAUAUUAGAACAAUUAAGCAUCCCCUGUAAUGUAACAUUAGCCAAAAGAAACAGGAACGGAGAUUGGAGACAGACUGCUGCGGAGGGUAAUGUAGCAUUAAACAAUUGUGAAUUGUGUGAAGUAAUUUUAAGUCUCCUACCUCACUCCGAGUCUUGGGUACUGCCAGAAACAUUAAACAGCCAACUUUGGACUCCUAAUAUUUCCCUGGGGAAACAGAAGCGCGGACUCCAAGUAGCUCAACAAUGGGGAGUUUAUCUGGGUCCGCUCUAGGGCCAGGAGAAGAGGACUUGAAGAUGCGGCACCCAUGACACAACAACAAAAGAAGCACAAAAAACAAAAGCGAAAUGACACAACAAAAG